CGAGUUUGACAUGGGUUGUAGCUGGCCUUCCGAGGCAUGUGGCCACGCCCUGCUCAUCCACUCUACACCUGUGCCUUACUGUGGGUUUCAGGCGCGUCAGCGAGUCUCGCGUGCUCGAGGCGUUACUGGGCCUACUUUCCACUACAAACACUUGAUAGUAAUAGAAUGUGUAUAGAUGUUCAAACCGCAUCAUUACAUA
RNAcentral lists this unclassified non-coding RNA (199 nucleotides) under soil metagenome. Its description in RNAcentral is "partial internal transcribed spacer 1". The record is from RNAcentral.